This 473-nucleotide ribosomal RNA is filed under the name uncultured bacterium. RNAcentral's name for it is "bacterial SSU rRNA". It matches the Rfam family "Bacterial small subunit ribosomal RNA", at positions 355 to 825 of the family's 1533-position model. The record is from RNAcentral.
UAGGGAAUUUUGGGCAAUGGGCGAAAGCCUGACCCAGCAACGCCGCGUGUGGGAUGAAGGCCCUCGGGUCGUAAACCACUGUCAGGAGGAAAGAAAAGUCGGCCGGAUAAUACUCGGUCGACCUGACGGUACCUCCAAAGGAAGCACCGGCUAACUCCGUGCCAGCAGCCGCGGUAAUACGGAGGGUGCAAGCGUUGUUCGGAAUUACUGGGCGUAAAGCGCGUGUAGGUGGUCGAGUAAGUCGAAUGUGAAAGCCCCGGGCUCAACCCGGGAAGUGCAUCCGAAACUGCUCGACUAGAGUCCCGGAGAGGAAGGCAGAAUUCCCAAUGUAGGGGUGAAAUCCGUAGAUAUUGGGAGGAAUACCGGUGGCGAAGGCGGCCUUCUGGACGGUGACUGACACUCAGACGCGAAAGCGUGGGGAGCAAACAGGAUUAGAUACCCCAGUAGUCCCUGAGCGGGCUGGCAAGGCGCAU